UGACAAACGUUACGAUCGGGCUUACAUU
This 28-nucleotide non-coding RNA is filed under the name Bombyx mori (domestic silkworm). The record is from RNAcentral. Lineage: Eukaryota; Metazoa; Arthropoda; Insecta; Lepidoptera; Bombycidae.